UACAGGGGGGGCAAGCGUUGUUCGGAAUUACUGGGCGUAAAGGGCUUGUAGGUGGCCAACUAAGUCCGACGUGAAAUCCCUAGGCUUAACCUAGGAACUGCGUCGGAUACUGGAUGGCUUGAAUCCGGGAGAGGGAUGCGGAAUUCCAGGUGUAGUGGUGAAAUGCGUAGAUAUCUGGAGGAACACCGGUGGCGGAGGCGGCAUCCUGGACCGGUAUUGACACUGAAAAGCGAAAGCCAGGGGAGCAAACGGG
This 253-nucleotide ribosomal RNA is filed under the name uncultured bacterium. RNAcentral's name for it is "partial 16S ribosomal RNA". It matches the Rfam family "Bacterial small subunit ribosomal RNA", at positions 524 to 776 of the family's 1533-position model. The record is from RNAcentral.